CCCUUCCUUCCCACCAUCCCAUCUCGCCUGCAACCUUAACGGAUGGAGAAACUUGGAAUUUCGCUGCGUUCCCAACCUUCUCACAUGCGGGAGGAAAGGGGGGCGGCGGAGGGAAACAAAUGUCCAUUUUAAAUCCCAGGCACAAAAGAAAGCAGCAUCGAGGAUGGGCAUUUCAACACGCAAAGGGUGUCUUUCCCCUGACAAAGGCGGCUGCGGGACCCAAAAGCUUGCCGAUUAUUAUUGAGUGAUUCGAUCCAGGAAUGAUCAACACUUGUUUCUGCAUUUUUGCACAAAGCCUAUAUAUGUAGUUUGUUGCCAUUGCAUCUUUGUUCCAAACACGUCGGAAUAUUCCAGGAAUAAUCACCGUUGGGGGGGGCACUGAAAGCGAGGAAAAACGUACAUUGGAUGAGUUUGUGGUGGUGGUGGGGUGGGGGGUUUUUCUUGCCAGGAGUCUGGCAUGGCUUCAAUCACAUGAUGGGAAGUGGAAACCCCAAUUUCCUCAGAUUUAAAAGCACGUCAGUCCCCGUCCCCCCCCCCAGGAGAGGAGCAGUGCAGCACAAAAGGGGGGCCCUUCCAAAAUACCAAAAGGGAGGAAGCUGAUCUCCGGGAAUUGGAGGCGGAGCCUUGGAUUGAGUCCCCACAAAGCAUCCGCCUCGUUGGCCCUCCAGUUGUGGAACGAUUACAACAACCCAGCGGCAGCCGCUCUCGUCACCGGAUGGCCGAAUGCUUGGAAAACAGAAAUGGCUGCCUUGGAAUUGCCUCAGGGGAUACUGUGUGGUCUCUUUCUCCCUCCACAAAGAAGGUGAGAAAAGGACAGAAAUGGUCUGCAAUGGAAGCAACUCGGGUCGGAGACUCUUGGAAGCUAUUGGUAGGUUUCCAAAGCUGUUUGGAUCCACCAAACCGAAAAGCAUUAAUGUCCAUUUGAAUUUCUGCACGCACAAAACACUGUUAUCUGGAUUACGUCUUGCCAGCAGACGUUGUUGGGAAGAGAA
RNAcentral lists this long non-coding RNA (992 nucleotides) under Pogona vitticeps (central bearded dragon). RNAcentral's name for it is "lncRNA (ENSPVIG00000010527.1)". Lineage: Eukaryota; Metazoa; Chordata; Lepidosauria; Squamata; Agamidae. The record is from RNAcentral.